This 343-nucleotide unclassified non-coding RNA is filed under the name Zanthoxylum poggei. RNAcentral describes it as "partial external transcribed spacer". Lineage: Eukaryota; Viridiplantae; Streptophyta; Magnoliopsida; Sapindales; Rutaceae. The record is from RNAcentral.
CUGUGUUGCUUACCCACGGAAAGGAAUUCGACGGCUUUGGUGUCCCCAUCCGCCUGCGCCCUUUGUGGGCGAGGGGCGGACGCGAGGCGGGCUCCGUGUUUCCCGGCGUGCCGUGUGCUUUGUCGCUCGGCCGUCGCGGCCCAUGGGGUCUCGGCCCGUACUCUUGGAUGCGGAACGUUGUGUGUGCGGGCGCGGUGGGGCAUCGGCCUCCGCCCGUCCGAGCGACACGUACUGUCCCUUGAUGCGAACGACAGCACGUGCCCGACUUAACCGGCCGACUGGGACCCCRUCGCGGGGCUCGGAUCUGYCGAUUAAUGCGGGCGCUGGCGUCAGAUAGGAAUGU